GUGGGGGGGGGCUGUCAUAAUACAUGCAAGUCGAGCGAACAGAUAAGGAGCUUGCUCCUUUGACGUUAGCGGCGGACGGGUGAGUAACACGUGGGUAACCUACCUAUAAGACUGGGAUAACUUCGGGAAACCGGAGCUAAUACCGGAUAACAUUUGGAACCGCAUGGUUCUAAAGUGAAAGAUGGUUUUGCUAUCACUUAUAGAUGGACCCGCGCCGUAUUAGCUAGUUGGUAAGGUAACGGCUUACCAAGGCGACGAUACGUAGCCGACCUGAGAGGGUGAUCGGCCACACUGGAACUGAGACACGGUCCAGACUCCUACGGGAGGCAGCAGUAGGGAAUCUUCCGCAAUGGGCGAAAGCCUGACGGAGCAACGCCGCGUGAGUGAUGAAGGGUUUCGGCUCGUAAAACUCUGUUAUUAGGGAAGAACAAAUGUGUAAGUAACUGUGCACGUCUUGACGGUACCUAAUCAGAAAGCCACGGCUAACUACGUGCCAGCAGCCGCGGUAAUACGUAGGUGGCAAGCGUUAUCCGGAAUUAUUGGGCGUAAAGCGCGCGUAGGCGGUUUCUUAAGUCUGAUGUGAAAGCCCACGGCUCAACCGUGGAGGGUCAUUGGAAACUGGGAAACUUGAGUGCAGAAGAGGAAAGUGGAAUUCCAUGUGUAGCGGUGAAAUGCGCAGAGAUAUGGAGGAACACCAGUGGCGAAGGCGACUUUCUGGUCUGUAACUGACGCUGAUGUGCGAAAGCGUGGGGAUCAAACAGGAUUAGAUACCCUGGUAGUCCACGCCGUAAACGAUGAGUGCUAAGUGUUAGGGGGUUUCCGCCCCUUAGUGCUGCAGCUAACGCAUUAAGCACUCCGCCUGGGGAGUACGACCGCAAGGUUGAAACUCAAAGGAAUUGACGGGGACCCGCACAAGCGGUGGAGCAUGUGGUUUAAUUCGAAGCAACGCGAAGAACCUUACCAAAUCUUGACAUCCUUUGAAAACUCUAGAGAUAGAGCUUUCCCCUUCGGGGGACAAAGUGACAGGUGGUGCAUGGUUGUCGUCAGCUCGUGUCGUGAGAUGUUGGGUUAAGUCCCGCAACGAGCGCAACCCUUAAGCUUAGUUGCCAUCAUUAAGUUGGGCACUCUAGGUUGACUGCCGGUGACAAACCGGAGGAAGGUGGGGAUGACGUCAAAUCAUCAUGCCCCUUAUGAUUUGGGCUACACACGUGCUACAAUGGACAAUACAAAGGGCAGCUAAACCGCGAGGUCAUGCAAAUCCCAUAAAGUUGUUCUCAGUUCGGAUUGUAGUCUGCAACUCGACUACAUGAAGCUGGAAUCGCUAGUAAUCGUAGAUCAGCAUGCUACGGUGAAUACGUUCCCGGGUCUUGUACACACCGCCCGUCACACCACGAGAGUUUGUAACACCCGAAGCCGGUGGAGUAACC
RNAcentral lists this ribosomal RNA (1427 nucleotides) under Staphylococcus sp. Its description in RNAcentral is "bacterial SSU rRNA". It matches the Rfam family "Bacterial small subunit ribosomal RNA". The record is from RNAcentral. Lineage: Bacteria; Bacillati; Bacillota; Bacilli; Caryophanales; Staphylococcaceae.